CCUACGGGCGGCUGCAGUGGGGAAUAUUGGACAAUGGGGGGAACCCUGAUCCAGCCAUGCCGCGUGUGUGAAGAAGGCCCUCGGGUUGUAAAGCACUUUCAGUGAGGAAGAACGCCUGGUGGUUAAUACCCAUCAGGAAAGACAUCACUCACAGAAGAAGCACCGGCUAACUCCGUGCCAGCAGCCGCGGUAAUACGGAGGGUGCGAGCGUUAAUCGGAAUUACUGGGCGUAAAGCGCGCGUAGGUGGCUUGAUAAGCCGGUUGUGAAAGCCCCGGGCUCAACCUGGGAACGGCAUCCGGAACUGUCAAGCUAGAGUUCAGGAGAGGAAGGUAGAAUUCCCGGUGUAGCGGUGAAAUGCGUAGAGAUCGGGAGGAAUACCAGUGGCGAAGGCGGCCUUCUGGACUGACACUGACACUGAGGUGCGAAAGCGUGGGUAGCAAACAGGAUUAGAUACCCGGGUAGUC
This 465-nucleotide ribosomal RNA is filed under the name Vreelandella stevensii. Its description in RNAcentral is "partial 16S ribosomal RNA". It matches the Rfam family "Bacterial small subunit ribosomal RNA", at positions 338 to 795 of the family's 1533-position model. Lineage: Bacteria; Pseudomonadati; Pseudomonadota; Gammaproteobacteria; Oceanospirillales; Halomonadaceae. The record is from RNAcentral.